RNAcentral lists this transfer RNA (83 nucleotides) under Luteolibacter yonseiensis. It matches the Rfam family "tRNA". From Rfam's summary of the family: Transfer RNA (tRNA) molecules are approximately 80 nucleotides in length. Their secondary structure includes four short double-helical elements and three loops (D, anti-codon, and T loops). Further hydrogen bonds mediate the characteristic L-shaped molecular structure. tRNAs have two regions of fundamental functional importance: the anti-codon, which is responsible for specific mRNA codon recognition, and the 3' end, to which the tRNAs corresponding amino acid is attached (by aminoacyl-tRNA synthetases). tRNAs cope with the degeneracy of the genetic code in two manners: having more than one tRNA (with a specific anti-codon) for a particular amino acid; and 'wobble' base-pairing, i.e. permitting non-standard base-pairing at the 3rd anti-codon position. The record is from Rfam by way of RNAcentral. Lineage: Bacteria; Pseudomonadati; Verrucomicrobiota; Verrucomicrobiia; Verrucomicrobiales; Verrucomicrobiaceae.
GCCGCUGUGAUGGAAUGGUAGACAUCGCAGACUUAAAAUCUGUUGGGCGCAAGCCCGUGUCGGUUCGAGUCCGACCAGCGGUA